RNAcentral lists this ribosomal RNA (495 nucleotides) under uncultured bacterium. RNAcentral describes it as "partial 16S ribosomal RNA". It matches the Rfam family "Bacterial small subunit ribosomal RNA", at positions 28 to 523 of the family's 1533-position model. The record is from RNAcentral.
GAUGAACGCUGGCGGCGUGCCUAACACAUGCAAGUCGAACGAAGCACCUUGCCUGAUUCUUCGGAUGAAGGUCUGGUGACUGAGUGGCGGACGGGUGAGUAACGCGUGGGUAACCUGCCCUGUACAGGGGGCUAAUAGUUGGAAACGGCUGCUAAUACCGCAUACGCGCACGAGAGGACCUCCUCUUGUGUGAAAAACUCCUGUGGUACAGGAUGGGCCCGCGUCUGAUUAGCUAGUUGGCAGGGUAACGGCCUACCAAGGCGACGAUCAGUAGCCGGUCUGAGAGGAUGAACGGCCACAUUGGAACUGAGACACAGUCCAAACUCCUACGAGAGGCAGCAGUGGGGAAUAUUGCACAAUGGGGGAAACCCUGAUGCAGCAACGCCGCGUGAGCGAUGAAGGCCUUCGGGUCGUAAAGCUCUUUUCUAAGGGAAGAAUUCUUGACGGUACCUUAGGAAUAAGCCCCGGCUAACUACGUGCCAGCAGCCGCAGUAA